GCAGACACAUUCCAGCCAAUCAGCAGCAGACCCUCCCUCCCAGCUCUUCCCAUCUCCUGGACAGCAUCCAUUUUGAAGCUGCAUUCUUAGUGAGCUGUCCAGAAGGUGGAAGGGUCUGGGAGGGAGGGUCUGCUGCUAAUUGGCUGGAAUGUGUCUG
Molecule: non-coding RNA, 157 nt
Organism: Pelobates cultripes (western spadefoot toad)
Lineage: Eukaryota; Metazoa; Chordata; Amphibia; Anura; Pelobatidae
Source: the annotation of a GenBank genome assembly